UCUUGGGCGUUAGCCAUCGGACUUUACACUGAGCGCACAACCUUAAACGUGGUCACGCAGAAAUGGUCCAGUUAGCUCAAGAGGUCUUAUUCUUAGGUGUGCUCGGGACUACAGCUGGACUGAAAGUUGUAAUGAAGGCAGCUCGGUUCCUGUGAUUUAAACGGUGCUGUGAUGUAGGGAGCAGGGACGAUGACGUUGUCUCCUGGGGCGCUAUUUGCCAAUCCUCUGCCACAUAAUUUUUUCCUCAGAGCAACCUACCCAAGCUAAGCAGAGGAAGAGCAGUGGGCAAGCUUCUUGGGUCCACCAGACUCUUCAUCAAGCUGGAAGUCAAGUGAAGCGAACGAGAAUGGGCGUUGGGCGAGAAAAGAGCUGGCUCGGUAUUGAAACCAUGACCGCACUGGUCAAAGUUCGUGUGUGUGUAGUCUUACAAAAGGCGUGGCUAUGGGAGCUGCCAUGAAGAGCACCUGUACGUCGGAAUUUGAGGAGCACCUUUUCUCAUGUGUGCACACAAGUUGCACUUGGCAAAACAAAAUCCAUAUCUGGGAGUAAAUUCCAUUGAACGGUUUCGGCGUUAGUAUGCACAGGAUCGGGCUGCCCAGCGUACACGUGCUCUGUUCUCCUCUGUAUCUGCUCACCCCAGAAAUAUGAAUAAAUAAGAGCGUUCU
Rhineura floridana is the source of this 665-nucleotide long non-coding RNA. RefSeq lists it as uncharacterized. NCBI's taxonomy places the organism in Eukaryota, Metazoa, Chordata, Lepidosauria, Squamata, Rhineuridae. The record is from RefSeq and is a predicted model, not a curated record. The transcript is spliced from 3 exons.